CCUACGGGAGGCAGCAGUGGGGAAUAUUGCGCAAUGGGCGAAAGCCUGACGCAGCGACGCCGCGUGAGGGAUGAAGGUCUUCGGAGCGUAAACCUCUGUCAGCAGGGAAGAACGGUCACUGUGCUAAUCAGCAGUGAAUUGACGGUACCUGCAAAGGAAGCACCGGCUAACUCCGUGCCAGCAGCCGCGGGAAUACGGAGGGUGCGAGCGGUAAUCGGAAUUACUGGGCGUAAAGCGCUCGUAGGCGGUAUGUCAAGUCAAGGGGGAAAUCCCCGCGCUCAACGUGGGAACUGCCUUUGAAACUGGGAAACUGGAGUGUGUGAGAGGAUAGUGGAAUUCCAGGUGUAGGAGUGAAAUCCGUAGAUAUCUGGAGGAACAUCAGUGGCGAAGGCGACUAUCUGGCACAUAACUGACGCUGAGGAGCGAAAGCGUGGGUAGCAAACAGGAUUAGAUACCCGUGUAGUC
RNAcentral lists this ribosomal RNA (465 nucleotides) under uncultured bacterium. Its description in RNAcentral is "partial 16S ribosomal RNA". It matches the Rfam family "Bacterial small subunit ribosomal RNA", at positions 338 to 795 of the family's 1533-position model. The record is from RNAcentral.